AGAGUUUGAUCCUGGCUCAGGAUGAAUGCUGGCGGCGUGCCUAACACAUGCAAGUCGAGCGGCAGCGAGGGGUGCUUGCACCCUGUCGGCGAGCGGCGAACGGCUGAGUAACGCGUAGGAAUUUGCCCCAAAGUGAGGAAUAACUGCCCGAAAGGGUAGCUAAUGCCGCAUAUGGUCUUCGGAUUAAAGGAUUUAUCCGCUUUGGGAGAAGCCUGCGUUGGAUUAGGUUGUUGGUAGGGUAAUGGCCUACCAAGCCGACGGUCCAUAGCUGGUCUGAGAGGAUGAUCAGCCAGACUGGAACUGAGACACGGUCCAGACUCCUACGGGAGGCAGCAGUGAGGAAUCUUCCACAAUGGGCGAAAGCCUGAUGGAGCAACGCCGCGUGAAGGAUGAAGGCCUUCGGGUUGUAAACUUCUUUUAUGAGUGAAGAAUAUGACGGUAACUCAUGAAUAAGCACCGGCUAACUACGUGCCAGCAGCCGCGGUCAUACGUAGGGUGCAAGCAUUAUCCGGAGUGACUGGGCGUAAAGAGUUGCGUAGGCGGUUUAAUAAGUGAAUAGUGAAACCUGGUGGCUCAACCAUACAGACUAUUAUUCAAACUGUUAAACUCGAGAAUGGUAGAGGUAACUGGAAUUUCUUGUGUAGGAGUGAAAUCCGUAGAUAUAAGAAGGAACACCAAUGGCGUAGGCAGGUUACUGGGCCAUUUCUGACGCUAAGGCACGAAAGCGUGGGGAGCGAACCGGAUUAGAUACCCCGGUAGUCCAA
This 764-nucleotide ribosomal RNA is filed under the name uncultured bacterium. RNAcentral describes it as "bacterial SSU rRNA". It matches the Rfam family "Bacterial small subunit ribosomal RNA", at positions 8 to 798 of the family's 1533-position model. The record is from RNAcentral.